GUGCUAGCCGCCGCGGUAAUACGGAGGGUGCAAGCGUUGUCCGGAAUCACUGGGUGUAAAGGGUGUGCAGGCGGGGCAGCAAGUCGGAGGUGAAAUCCCACGGCUCAACCGUGGAAGUGCCUUCGAAACUGCUGCUCUUGAGUCCCGGAGAGGCUGCCGGAAUUCGUGGUGUAGCGGUGAAAUGCGUAGAUAUCACGAGGAACACCAGAGGCGAAAGCGGGCAGCUGGACGGGUACUGACGCUCAGGCACGAAAGCCAGGGUCUCCAACCGGAUUAGAAACCCUUGUAGUCC
RNAcentral lists this ribosomal RNA (292 nucleotides) under uncultured bacterium. Its description in RNAcentral is "partial 16S ribosomal RNA". It matches the Rfam family "Bacterial small subunit ribosomal RNA", at positions 505 to 796 of the family's 1533-position model. The record is from RNAcentral.